Molecule: RNA transcript, 3999 nt
Organism: Triticum dicoccoides
Lineage: Eukaryota; Viridiplantae; Streptophyta; Magnoliopsida; Poales; Poaceae
Gene name: coatomer subunit epsilon-2-like
Exons: 3
Source: RefSeq, a predicted model, not a curated record
AGACUUGGGCGAUCGAUCGUGGGUUGCCAGGGGUGUUCGUGGAUUGGAUGGGCAUUCUUUUACUGUCCUCGUUUGCACCCACCAGUGAAAAUAUCUCCGCUCUUGCCUUCUCUCCUGUGCUCUCUCCUCCCCCGAUCCCCUCCUUCCCUACCGUCAUGCCGCCGGCUCCAUGCAGCGGCCGACGCGGCCUUCUCUCCCCGGCGCUCGAGGUGCAGGUCACCGGCAUCACUCGCCGCGUGCCGUGGUUCUGGAUCGGGCGCAGAUCUUUGCGCUCCCACCUCUCCUCCUCCUCUCCCUCUCUCUCCCAUGCCGCCAUCGUUGCAAGGAGCAGGGGACAUAGGUGCCAAGGACAGGAAGCAACGGGUUGGUCGCGGUGGGCUUGAGCUGCUGGGGAGAUGGAGGAGGCCGUCGUGGUUCGUCAUGGAGGCGGCGCCGCCAGCAAGCUGGUUGAGGUACGUGUCAGAUCUGUUAGUCCUUCAUGGUUGUAGUUCGUUCUCCUCACAGACCAUGUGUUUCUCCUUUCCUCCCUCAAUGUGCCGGGGAAUACAUCGUUGCUACCUAUAUUACUGGCUUGCAAGCUUUAAGAGGGAGAUUUUAAUAUGUUGGUCAUUCACAUCUCUGGCCAUGUGUGAUGAUUUUUUUUUGUUAAUGGCUAAUGAUUUAUUUCAGAGAACCAAAUCUGUACCAUGCCGCCUCACCCUCUCAGGUAAUUGUUUCACCCCUUUUGAUAGUAUUUUAGGUAUGUCCUUGUUGUUCUUCCCUAAGAGCUGCAAUUUUCUACCCUAUUUGUUUACUGCUUAUUAUCGUGCUAAUUCCUUUGUAUUCCUGUUUUUCCGGGUGUCGUGUUUGUGUGUUUGUUUUUGUGGUGCUGCUUAUACGUGUGACUACCGUAUGAUUGUAUAUAUAUGCUGAAAAGUAAAACAAUUUUUCCUUGGCACAAUAUAUAAUUUGCAAUGAGAUGGUAGUACAUCAGUGUAUUUACAGGAAAAAACAAUGGUCGUAUAUAUGCUGAAAAGAAUUAAGCCUGAAAAGAACAUUCAUCUACUAUUUCUUGAUGUAUGCUAUCGUAUAUUACAUCCCCCCAAAUGACGAAAAUGAAGUUCAGGGGCAUGUUUUUUUAUAUAUGCUUGACUUAACUGGAGCUUAAAAUUUGUCAUUUGUUUAAGUACCAAUCUGAUUUAUUCUUGACUCUUGAUUGCUGCUACUGGAACUGAGGGAUGUUGACACGUGUAACAAAAUAGUUGAAAGAUUUCAUACCGACGAGGCUCUUGAGACUACAAACAUUUCUUCACUCCUUAUACCAAAAGAUUCUAGGACUAAGUUAUAUGAUUUUAUAAUUUAGUCUGAUUUUCCUUCUGUUAAUAUGUGCUCCUGUGCAAUUUUUCAUAGGCUUCUUUUUCUUUUUUCUGGUUACGAUAUUACAAAGCUGAGCAAUAGUUUCUCUACUAAUAUAGCUUGCGUGAAAAACAUCCGUCUUUGGGAUGCUUUUGCGGCGUGUGUAACUGCCUCACAUUAGCCUAUGCUUCUAUCCGAGUUGCUUACUACUAAGACCAUAAUAGAUCAUGCUUUUAAAAGGUAGUCAUUCAUUCCAGGAAAGUGAAAGCUUGGGUGUAGCUACCAAAGUUCCAUUGAAGAAAAUGAUAAUGUACUUAUAAUGCAUUUCACUUGAUUGAAACAGUUUACUCAUUUGUUGCAUGCCACGCCAACAUUUUAUUCCUGUAGGUAAAAAUAAGAAAAUGAGUGGUGAUGUGUGUCACCCCAGUUAGUUUUUCCCCAGAUUUCUUUGAUAUACUGAAAUGCUUAUAUUCAUUACUUUGUGCGACUUUGAAGGAAGGUGCGAUCUCCAGCCUGAAGGACUGGCUGAUUGAUUCAGCUAUAGGAAGCAAUCCUGUUCCGCGAUUGAUUGCUGGAAUCAUAUUUAUGCAAGAGCAAGACUACACACGAGGCUGUCAAGCACACACAUACCAAAGGAACUCUGGACAUGUCCAAGAUAGAAUCCAGGUUCAAUGUUUUGAUCAUACAAGGCAACUAUAUGGGUUAUAAUGAAAUAGACAAAAGUACCAUUUAUCCACAAGAUUGAUCCAUUCAUAUGGGGCAGCGUCAGAUGCUCUCUGCGGAUCAAUCAAUGGUAAAUAAAGGCAUAUUGUAUUUUCUUUCAAAAAAAUCAUCGAGGAAACAUAUAGAGCUUUAUGUUCGAUUAUGUUCACACCCCUGAACCCAAACCCUAAGCCGAAUCAGGCGAGCUCUCAUUGCCGGAUCGCUGGCCAAUCGUCCGGUUGGCCUCCACGUCAGUUCCGCACCGCUGCCAACGACCGCCGUGCAUUGGAUUCGGGUGUGGCGUUGGCUGGGAACCGUACGGUGUUUGUCUGACAUGCCGUCCGCACUGGGGGUUGGUCGGUCGACUCCAGGUAUGAGCAGCUCCUGAGCUUGAUGGCUGGAUGUGUGCACACAUGUAAUGGGGCAUCAUGGUCAUGUUGCUUGGUGUGCAGAGAUAACCUCAUUUUGGACCAAAAAGAGGGGCAAUGACUCUGACAACAGGCUGAAACAAUCAUGUCUUGAGCAAUCAAGACAGCCUUGGCUUGUGGGACUAAACAGAGCUGAAAAAGUCGGUGUCAGCGUUGGACUUGCCCUUAGAGCCUACCCUUACCUCUGUUGUAGCCUGCUCAAUAUUGUCACUGAUGUUGGAUGAUUUGUUCUUUGGACGGUCGUUCUGAUGAGUGAUAACCAGGGCAGUUCUCUUACACUGUGAUGGUAGGUUAUGGACCAAGAGAUGUGGGUGUUGGCUUUGAAGAUGAAUGACAUAUUAACUGAUAGACUGCCAUCAAAUGAAGUACGGUACAAAUUGUACUACUUCGUUCGAUCCAUAUUAACUGACCCACACUUAGUACAAUCAAAUGAUGAAAUCAUGUUUGAUAAUGAUGAGACAUUCAGCAAUGACUACCUAAUACCAGUGCCUUCAUGUCUUGGUCUUUCCAUCUGGCAGUAGAUACAAGACUCGUCCCUCGGCCUAGCGUUAAAAUACUAAGCAAGUUAGUUAAGUUGAGCAUUAUUGAUCGACCUGAUAUAUGUUUUUUCCGUUCUAAGGCAGAAAAUUGGCGUCGGAGAAGUAUAGCAGAUCAUAAAAACUAUUAGGUCAUUUUAUUUUAAAUGCCAUUUUACUGCGACGCGAAUUUUGAGGACAUGCGGCCACGUGAGAUCGUUAUCUUGUGCGUCCGCAGCGCGUCGUGAUCAGCAGCUAAUAUAGCAUCUCCUGCCCACACGCAAAUACCGCACAGUGUUUUCCUUUUUCACAACGGGGAUACGUCCACUAUACGCUCUCGCAUGUGGGCCAACACACAUUUAUUUGCGUACGAAUACAGCCUUGUCCGUUAGCGACUCGACACACUGGGACGGCCGUUCGGUGGUGUGGUCAUAAAUGCCCUGAUGUUUGGUGCACCAUCAUUUAGCAAGCGGGUGAACCGUCCCUCGAUCUGUAGCACUGUACAUCUUCUUGAAGCCUCGAGCUGGUGGAGGCGCAAUGGGGGAAGAUGGCAUGGCUUCAGCAGAAACAGAGAAAUCUAGGUCAACUACACCGAAAGCAAACUAAAAGAUUACAUGACCCAGAUUAUGAUACACUCAACGUCAGGCUUGCAAACAGUGUUCUACACGCCAAUUGUCGCAUCAUGCUAGGAACCGACAAGAGAGCCACGGUAACAACCAACUGGUCUAAGUUCCGCCGUCUUGCAAAAAUUCAUGAAGGAGACAUCUGUGCAUUUCGUUUCAAGGUCACCACAAAGCAGUGCCUGGUUCUCAUCAUGCAUUGCCUUUAGAUGAACCAUCGACAGCAAUGGAAGUCGUAUCUAAGUAUCAUCUAGCAUUCUAAAGACUACUAGACAAGCUCUGUAAUAGGAUGAAACCUUCCUCUGUUUUUCGACGAUGCUAUUUGUUACUUUUGAACAGCUACCACCUAUGAUUUUACCUAUAUAACCUUUGCUGUUGUUCCUCAUUGAUCUAUGAAUA